This 254-nucleotide ribosomal RNA is filed under the name uncultured bacterium. RNAcentral's name for it is "partial 16S ribosomal RNA". It matches the Rfam family "Bacterial small subunit ribosomal RNA", at positions 524 to 776 of the family's 1533-position model. The record is from RNAcentral.
UACGGGGGGAGCAAGCGUUGUUCGGAUUUACUGGGCGUAAAGGGCGGGUAGGCGGCCACCGCAAGUCAGUUGUGAAAUCUCCGGGCUUAACCCGGAAAGGUCAACUGAUACUGCGGGGCUAGAGUGCAGAAGGGGCAACUGGAAUUCUCGGUGUAGCGGUGAAAUGCGUAGAUAUCGGGAGGAACACCAGUGGCGAAGGCGGCGACCUGGGCCAAUACUGACGCUGAGGUGCGAAAGCGUGGGGAGCAAACAGG